RNAcentral lists this ribosomal RNA (619 nucleotides) under uncultured bacterium. Its description in RNAcentral is "bacterial SSU rRNA". It matches the Rfam family "Bacterial small subunit ribosomal RNA", at positions 8 to 616 of the family's 1533-position model. The record is from RNAcentral.
AGAGUUUGAUCCUGGCUCAGAUUGAACGCUGGCGGUAUGCUUAACACAUGCAAGUCGAACGGUAACAGGAGAGAGCUUGCUCUCUUGCUGACGAGUGGCGGACGGGUGAGUAACGCGUAGGAAUCUGCCUGGUAGUGGGGGACAACUUGAGGAAACUCAAGCUAAUACCGCAUACGCCCUAAGGGGGAAAGCGGGGGAUCUUUUAGACCUCGCGCUAUCAGAUGAGCCUGCGUUAGAUUAGCUGGUUGGUGAGGUAAAGGCUCACCAAGGCGACGAUCUAUAGCUGGUCUGAGAGGACGAUCAGCCACACUGGGACUGAGACACGGCCCAGACUCCUACGGGAGGCAGCAGUGGGGAAUAUUGGACAAUGGGCGCAAGCCUGAUCCAGCAAUACCGCGCGUGUGAAGAAGGCCUGAGGGUUGUAAAGCACUUUCAGAGGGGAGGAAAAAGCACGGGCCAAUACCCUGUGCCUUGACAUUACCCUCAGAAGAAGCACCGGCUAACUCCGUGCCAGCAGCCGCGGUAAUACGGAGGGUGCGAGCGUUAAUCGGAAUUACUGGGCGUAAAGCGUACGUAGGCGGUUUGUUAAGUCAGAAGUGAAAGCCCCGGGCUUAACCUG